Molecule: transfer RNA, 67 nt
Filed under: Marmota monax (woodchuck)
Lineage: Eukaryota; Metazoa; Chordata; Mammalia; Rodentia; Sciuridae
Description: tRNA.Ala
Source: RNAcentral
UGGAUGCUGGGUGGUAGAGUGUUUGCCUAGCAUGCACAAGGCCCUGGGUUCAAUCCCCAGUAUCAAA